AAGCAUCUAAGCGGGAAACUUGCCUCGAGAUGAGUCUUCCCUGUCACCUUGAGUGACCUAAAGGAACGUUUAAGACUAAGACGUUGAUAGGCUGGGUGUGUAAGCGUAGCGAUACGUUGAGCUAACCAGUACUAAUGAACCGUGAGGCUUAACCUGACACACCGAAGGUGUU
RNAcentral lists this ribosomal RNA (172 nucleotides) under Shigella sp. FC1967. Its description in RNAcentral is "partial 23S ribosomal RNA". It matches the Rfam family "Bacterial large subunit ribosomal RNA", at positions 2775 to 2925 of the family's 2925-position model. The record is from RNAcentral. Lineage: Bacteria; Pseudomonadati; Pseudomonadota; Gammaproteobacteria; Enterobacterales; Enterobacteriaceae.